RNAcentral lists this ribosomal RNA (119 nucleotides) under Anas platyrhynchos (mallard). The record is from RNAcentral. Lineage: Eukaryota; Metazoa; Chordata; Aves; Anseriformes; Anatidae.
GCCUACGGCCAUUCCCAACCUGGCAACGCACCGAUCUCGUCUGAUCUCGGAAGCUAAGCAGGUCGGGGCCGGUUAGUACUUGGAUGGGAGACCUAUGGGAAUACCGGGUGCUGUAGGCU